UACGGGGGGGGCAAGCGUUGUUCGGAAUUACUGGGCGUAAAGGGCUUGUAGGCGGCCAACUAAGUCCGACGUGAAAUCCCAAGGCUUAACCUUGGAACUGCGUCGGAUACUGGAUGGCUUGAAUUCGGGAGAGGGAUGCGGAAUUCCAGGUGUAGCGGUGAAAUGCGUAGAUAUCUGGAGGAACACCGGUGGCGAAGGCGGCAUCCUGGACCGAGAUUGACGCUGAACAGCGAAAGCUAGGGGAGCAAACAGG
RNAcentral lists this ribosomal RNA (253 nucleotides) under uncultured bacterium. Its description in RNAcentral is "partial 16S ribosomal RNA". It matches the Rfam family "Bacterial small subunit ribosomal RNA", at positions 524 to 776 of the family's 1533-position model. The record is from RNAcentral.